GUAAUUGCCUAGUCACGAUUGCUUCAGAAGCAAGUCGUGUCGACUUAGUUGGAAAGGAAGGGUUUAUAAUAGCUGUGGAAAUCAUUGGAGAGGCCAUCAAGAAUCAAAUGAAGGAUGAGGAAUUGAUCUUGAAUUGUAGUUGGUAUAGAGAAUUUUGUGUUGUUGACAUGAAACGAACACUUACAAUUGCUGGAUCACCAAAGUUUAAUUUGUAUGAUGUUGAUUUUGGUUGGGGUAGGCCAGAAAAAAUAGAGAUCAUUUCUAUUGAUAAUAGUAGUGGUAUAUCUAUGUCCAUUAGCAAGUACAAAGAUUCAGAUGGAGAUUUAGAGGUUGGCUUGUCUUUGCCUAAAAUUAGAAUGAGUGCUUUUGCUGCUACAUUCGACCAUGGGCUAAGCUUUUUGUAAGAAUGUACCAAGGUUUAUCGGAAAAUUUAUUACUAUAGAAUCGUGGAUUGUAAUUCAAGAAUGCCAAAAUAUAUGGGCAUUAAUUGAUGUAUUAUUGAAUUGGUUUCUUUUGAGUGGGGACGUUUUUUUAUUGAACCCGUAUAUCUUUGAUAGUUGAGGUGAUUAUAUGUCAUGCCGAUCUUCGAUUAAUUGAGAUGCAUCAUUAUCCUUUUUUAUUGAUAUUAUAUUGUCCACAUGCAUUGACAUGAGAUUGAAUAUGAGUAAAGGUCUGGAAAGUAUUUAGUUAGAAAAAUUAUAUUGUCAUUGAAGGUAAAUAUUUUUUUAAUAUAGCAUAUUUAUGUGAUAUACCCAAAAGGAAAUCAAACUAAUUUAAUCCAACAAGAUCCAAUUCAACUAUAAAGAUGAAAAGCAUUUUUCACCUCAACUUGAUUAAAGUCGCCCAAAAAACACCAUACAUCAAUUGAUUUUGCAGAUUACCAGACUCUUCUGCCACUAAUUUUUUUCACUACAACUUGUGCAACUUUAUUGCUGAUACAACAAAUAUAUUAAUGCAUACACAUUUCUAUAUAAUAGAAAAAAAAUAAAAUAGAUGUUUAAGUUCAUAUAUACUUUGGAUCUAAACUAUACAUUUUAUUUAUAUUAAGCAAUAUAUGUGAAACUUGAAUUUAAGCUACCGCUUCAUAGAAAGUUAUUGAAGCUGAGAGCCUAAUUCCAUCUUGGUAACUCUUUACGUGGUUCAGCUCUCAGCAAGACAACUUUCGAUUGUCCACAUUAAAGAAUGACAGAGGCCUCCUUUUGAGAGCUGGAAAAAAAAAAUCGAAGCUUUUCGUCUAAAUAUAUCACAACCUCUUGAACAAACUGGAUAUUAAUAAUGUAAAACACACAUUAAUCAAGAUAAAAUUUUCAACAGGUAAAAUCACAAGUCAUAGCUCCACGAUAUGUAGGUUUCUUUUGGUCUUGCAACUCUUGCAAAAUAUUUAGAUUUAGACGGAGACCACAAUGUGAAUUUUAAUCAUUUUCUGAUCUUUGAACGCAUCAGAAAGUCCAAAGGCAAGCAAUAUGAGAAAAAAGGACAUAAAUUAGCUAUCAGGAUAGUGGCAUUGAAUAUUUAGCUUUCUCAGGUGUUUGCAACUUAUUAAGGGCAUAAUUCUAAUGCGUAUCAAGAUAAAUUUUCUUGGGUCUUUGCAGCUUAUUAAGAGUGCUUCGGUAGUUGAGCAUGAGGUAAGAGUAAGAUCACAAACAUACAACUGAAAGGGCAAUAAUAACCAAUCCAACUGCUAUCCGAUUAAUAACACAAUUUUUGUUACUUUUUCAUUCUUCGAAACUCAAUGUCAUAAUGUGAAAGAUAAAUCAUAUUGUAUCAAAGUAGAUGAAACAAACACGAAAACAUAAGAAAAAAGGUAGUUGGAGAAAACCUUGAACGCGCGUGGUCAAUGCAUUAACGUGAAAAGAGCCAAUAUCUAACUCAUUAACCUACUAAUUGAAUCAAAACUUACUAAUGGUCUUGGUUAUCUAGCUCUCCAUCAAUUCCCUCUUAUAGUACUCUUAUCUCCAGUGUCAAGAUAUGUUUUUUUGAGGUGACGCAUACAUUUUUGAGAAUGAUCGAUGCAUAAUCACAGCUCUCCCUUUGGCUUAAAUUCCAACCUAGAAAUCCUGACUUUGCUGCCAAUGGAGUUCUUAUUGAGCGUCGAAGCUAACUGCAGUUCAAAUACAAAUGCAAUUCCUAAUUAAUAAUGUGCACAAAAGUUAGAAGAAGAUAGCAAUAUCUGAUUAGAAAAGUUAAUCCUUGCUACAACUUCAUUUUAUCAUCAUCAAAUUUUGGCAAUAUGCAGAGGACCAACCACACAUUUCAAAUAGUAAUUAUGUCGCUUAGGUUAGUAUUAGUUUAUAUGCAAGAGUUCAAAAUCUAUUCACAAUUUUCAUCGAUGUUUCCCAACCAACACAGUCAAAGAAUGACAAUGUCAUCCUCUAGAGGUUCCAUUUACUUUUAAUCUAUUGGAUCUUAGUUUUUCUCCCUCUAUCUUCAUGGUUACGUUAAUUUCUCUACCCCUUAGCUUGGUGCAGGUCUAUUUCUAGAUCUGACCAUAUAUAUUGCAAAUCUAACUUAUUUUGCUAUGCUAUUGUUGGUAGCAGAGUUGUCGCUUCAAUCUACUAUAAUUAUGAAAUUACUUCUAAGUUCUAACUACCACACCACUUGUUGUGACACCUCUAUUUGGAUAGAUAUCUAGAUAUGAAGCAAUUGUCAUUUUGUUGCAGGAUGGUAUAGAGUUGAAUACCAGAAUAUUGGAUGCACAGAUGUUGUUAUUAUACCAAAGUUUAAUUUGUAUGAUGUUGAUUUUGGUUGGGGUAGGCCAGAAAAAAUAGAGAUCAUUUCUAUUGAUAAUAGUAGUGGUAUAUCUAUGUCCAUUAGCAAGUACAAAGAUUCAGAUGGAGAUUUAGAGAUUGGCUUGUCUUUGCCUAAAAUUCGAAUGACUGCUUCUGCUGCUAUAUUCGACCAUGGGCUAAGCUUUUUGUAAGAAUGUACCAAGGUCUAUCGGACAAUUUAUUUCUAUAGAAUCGUGGAUUGUAAUUUAAGAAUGCCAAAACAUAUGGGCAUUAAUUGAUGUAUUAUUGAUUUGGUUUCUUUUGUGAGGGG
This 3039-nucleotide long non-coding RNA is filed under the name Solanum tuberosum (potato). RNAcentral describes it as "long non-coding RNA (STUB_LNC009586)". Lineage: Eukaryota; Viridiplantae; Streptophyta; Magnoliopsida; Solanales; Solanaceae. The record is from RNAcentral.